RNAcentral lists this ribosomal RNA (688 nucleotides) under bacterium. RNAcentral's name for it is "bacterial SSU rRNA". It matches the Rfam family "Bacterial small subunit ribosomal RNA", at positions 848 to 1533 of the family's 1533-position model. The record is from RNAcentral.
GAGCUAACGCGUUAAGCGAGCCGCCUGGGAAGUACGGUCGCAAGACUAAAACUCAAAGAAAUUGACGGGGACCCGCACAAGCGGUGGAGUAUGUGGCUUAAUUCGAUGCAACGCGAAGAACCUUACCUAGGCUUGACAUGCUUGUCGUACUCUCCCGAAAAGGAGAGGUCACUUCGGGUGGACAAUGCACAGGUGCUGCAUGGCCGUCGUCAGCUCGUGUCGUGAGAUGUUUGGUUAAGUCCAGCAACGAGCGCAACCCCUGUGAACUGUUGCCAGCGCGUAAAGGCGGGGACUCUGUUCAGACUGCCCAGAUCAACUGGGAGGAAGGUGGGGACGACGUCAGGUCAGUAUGGCCCUUACGCCUAGGGCUGCACACGUACUACAAUGCCCAGCACAAUGAGAACCGAGACCGCAAGGUGGAGGAAAUCUGCAAAACUGGGCCCAGUUCGGAUUGGAGGCUGCAACUCGCCUCCAUGAAGUCGGAAUCGCUAGUAAUGCCGUAUCAGCUACGACGGCGUGAAUACGUUCCCGGGUCUUGUACACACCGCCCGUCACAUCAUGGAAGCCGGUCGCACCCGAAGUAUAUGCGCUAACUUUAUUGAAGCAGUAUCCUAAGGUGAGGCUGGUAACUGGGAUGAAGUCGUAACAAGGUAGCCGUAGGGGAACCUGCGGCUGGAUCACCUCCUUU